Molecule: ribosomal RNA, 301 nt
Filed under: uncultured bacterium
Lineage: Bacteria
Description: partial 16S ribosomal RNA
Rfam family: Bacterial small subunit ribosomal RNA
Source: RNAcentral
CAGUAGCCACGGUAAUACGGAGGGAGCUAGCGUUAUCCGGAAUUACUGGGCGUAAAGCGCACGUAGGCGUCUUUGUAAGUUAGAGGUGGAAGCCUGGAGCUCAACUCCAGAAUUGCCUUUAAGACUGCAUCGCUUGAAUCCAGGAGAGGAGAGUGGAAUUCCGAGUGUAGAGGUGAAAUUCGUAGAUAUUCGGAAGAACACCAGUGGCGAAGGCGGCUCACUGGACUGGUAUUGACGCUGAGGUGCGAAAGCGUGGGGAGCAAACAGGAUUAGAUACCCCUGUAGUCCCUGUCUCUUAUAC